This 492-nucleotide ribosomal RNA is filed under the name uncultured bacterium. RNAcentral's name for it is "partial 16S ribosomal RNA". It matches the Rfam family "Bacterial small subunit ribosomal RNA", at positions 29 to 507 of the family's 1533-position model. The record is from RNAcentral.
AGUGAACGCUGGCGGUAGGCCUAACACAUGCAAGUCGAACGGCAGCACAGUAAGAGCUUGCUCUUACGGGUGGCGAGUGGCGGACGGGUGAGGAAUGCAUCGGAAUCUACUUUUUCGUGGGGGAUAACGUAGGGAAACUUACGCUAAUACCGCAUACGACCUACGGGUGAAAGCAGGGGAUCUUCGGACCUUGCGCGAUUGAAUGAGCCGAUGUCGGAUUAGCUAGCUGGCGGGGUAAAGGCCCACCAAGGCGACGAUCCGUAGCUGGUCUGAGAGGAUGAUCAGCCACACUGGAACUGAGACACGGUCCAGACUCCUACGGGAGGCAGCAGUGGGGAAUAUUGGACAAUGGGCGCAAGCCUGAUCCAGCCAUACCGCGUGGGUGAAGAAGGCCUUCGGGUUGUAAAGCCCUUUUGUUGGGAAAGAAAAGCAGCAGGUUAAUACCCCGCUGUCCUGACGGUACCCAAAGAAUAAGCACCGGCUAACUUCGUG